GGGCGUGUGGCGGAACUGGCAGACGCGCUAGACUUAGGAUCUAGUGGGGUAACCUGUGGAGGUUCGAGUCCUCUCACGCCCACCA
This 85-nucleotide transfer RNA is filed under the name Nitrospiraceae bacterium. Its description in RNAcentral is "tRNA-Leu". It matches the Rfam family "tRNA". Rfam says of the family: Transfer RNA (tRNA) molecules are approximately 80 nucleotides in length. Their secondary structure includes four short double-helical elements and three loops (D, anti-codon, and T loops). Lineage: Bacteria; Pseudomonadati; Nitrospirota; Nitrospiria; Nitrospirales; Nitrospiraceae. The record is from RNAcentral.